RNAcentral lists this long non-coding RNA (4076 nucleotides) under Lynx pardinus (Iberian lynx). Lineage: Eukaryota; Metazoa; Chordata; Mammalia; Carnivora; Felidae. The record is from RNAcentral.
GGGAGCCACUCUUGCAACGCUGACAUUGGACGAGCAAGCACCCCAGAGAGGGCCUCCUGAGGACCAGAGAGGAGGGCAGGCGGCAGAGGCCCUGAAAACAGAGCUGUGAGUGCCUCCCCCACGCCUUCCACAGCCCCAGCCCUGCCACUGGGGGCUCCCGCAACAGCCCUGCGCGCCCCCAGGAUACCUCCCCAUCCCGACCCUCAGAAUGACCAGGAAACCAGGCCUUGCACUGGGAAGAGUUGAAGGAAGGCCCUGCUGACAGAGGGGGUGCGGGCCAUCAAAGCUGCUACAUGUGGGCUGUAGGAGAAAAGAAGUGAAGUCAGAGAAGGGAAAACCAAGCCGGAGCUAGAAAUCCACCCCACCCUACGCUCCCUACAAGCUAGCAACGAAAGCCUCUGCGCUACGGCGAACGACAGCCUUGGGGGAGGACAGCAGAAUUCCCUGGGAAGGAGUACACAGGGUCGGGCUCUAGAAGCAGACAGACCUGGGCGUGGUGAGCCUGGUGAUAACCAGCUCACAGGGCCUCGAAAGGGUCUGUGAGGUCAGGCGUGUGCCCGCUGCUGGGCACACGGUGAAGCCCAAGAAACCCGUCAUAGCUUUCGUCCCUUCUACCACAUUCUUCAACACUCGCCAGCUUUCGUUCCCCGCGGGUGGAGCAGGCAGGGGUGAGGUACCAGCUCCCUGAGGGCAGGUAGAGACACGGAGGCAGAGAGAGGCCGAGGCGCUCACUCUCAGAGCGGGGUUCUGGCACCGGGUCUCAGGAGGGUUGGAAAAAGUGGACAAAGACCUGAUGGCGGGAGAGGGGGAGGCAGGGCUCUGGCAGGGAGCUGACGCUCCAGGACAGGUGACGAGGCCCAGGCCUGGCUUAUAUAACGCAGCACACCUGUUCACCUCUGCACACGCCCCACGCUCGUUUGUGCGAGCAAACGUGGGCCCCCGCACAGCACACACCCCCGGGCCCUCACUCGCUAGCCAAUGAGCGUCAGAGCCCUGGCCUGAACAAAUUGGAUUAGGAGGGCUGCAGACACCUCUCCCCCCUCCUCCCCUCCCCCCCCCCUGCACUGUCCAGCUCCGACACUGAGCAGACCUGCGGGGCGGCCAGCUGCUGUCCCUCGGCCACGCUGACAGUCUGUCCUCCGUCCUGGAGACCUGCCCCUGGGCCCCCAGGAAGAGGGCCGGGGGUCUGAGAGGAUGCCGGGAUGACGGAUGGGCUGGCCCAAGAGCACACAGGAUGUCGGUGCUUGUGCAAGGCUCGUCUCUGAGCUGUUCCCAGCAGCCCAUCCCCUCCUCCCCUCCCACCUCCCUUCCCAAAGCCUCUCCCGUGAUCACUGCCGCCAGGGCCCAGAGCCCCGGCUCCCAGCAGACCCAUCCUCGUCAGUCCCACAGCUGGGCAGGCGAGAACUGGUCAGCCUGGGAGAAGAUGGCCUGGGGACAAGACACAAGAGAGAGAGAGAAAAAGGAGCUUAUGAACAGAGACAAUGCCGAUCAUAAAGGUGACAUCUCAGUGCGUUCUCAUGCAUCGUUUUGUUCCAUCAUCAGAGUGGGCCUGGGAGUUGAGAGAUUGUGCCCAUGGCACAGAUGUGACUACUGACGUCUGCUAUUCAGGGAUUCCACAGCUCCCCUUUCGUGAGCCCUGAGUCUGCUCCAGCCCCGAAUGGGGUGCUGGGAACACCGGCAUGAACGCCUUGGUGCGCCCAUCGCUAAACAGGUCAGGCUCCUUUGGGCUUGGCCGCUGGGCACUGGGGGCCCCCCGGUCUUCUGAGGGAGCGGCACCAGUAGGUAGAUGCCUUUUCCAUAUGGCACAGGUGAGCGGCUGAAUAUUACAGCGAGAGCAGCCUUAGCAAGCAGCCCAUUCCAAACACAGACCCUGAAGGCUGACAGCCCCAAGUGCAAACCCUGCCUUUCUAGCUGGAGAGCUGUAGUCCAGCUGGCCUCGCCAAGCCUGUUUUCCCUUCUGCGAAAUGGAGGUACAGAAGCUCCCCUUCGUGGGACUCACCGUUGAGGAUUAGUACUUUUCACACCCUCAUUUGACACAGGGAGACACAGAGGUGGGAGAGGGAAGAGGCCUGGCCAAGGUCACAGUGCGAGUUGGGGAUUAAGUCGGGACCAGAUAGAAACUCUCUUCCUCCACCCCUCAUCCCAGUAUAAAUCCUCCCCACGGUGGGGGUGGGGGGGUGGGGAGGGGGCUGGCUGGCUCAGUCCGUUAGGUUAAGCUUCUGACUUUGGCUCAGGUCACGAUGUCACAGUUCGUGAGUUCGAGCCCUGCCUCAGGCCCUGUGCUGACCGCUCAGAGCCUGGAGCCUGCUUCAGAUUCUGUGUCUCCCUCUCUCUCUGCCCCUCCCCCGCUCACGCUCUCUCUCAAAAAUGAAUAAACAUUUAAAAAAAAUCCUCCCCACGGGCUCCACCCCAAGUAGCCUAGAGGCCGUGACAGGCGGCUCAGCAAUAGAGGCAACUAUGGAGACAUAUCCUGGGACCCACCCCGUACCUUCAGCCCUGCCGCAGCCUCGGCAGCACCAGAGGCCCAGGUGCCCGGCAGUGGCCCCCAGCCCUCAGUGGUGGUGGAGGGUGGGGGAGUGCAGUGACAGUGACGGCUCUGGCCCAGAGCAGCCUGCCCAUAUAAGGGAAGGAGCUGGGGAGGCCUCCUCACUUGGGCCUGGCGAGAAAACCCAGACAGCCACUGUUUAUUUUCUCCUUCCCAGCCUCCCCGGAGCUUCCCAAGAAGACAGAGGCUCCCCCGGGCUGGGCUUGGCGACAUUUCCUGAAGACAGUAGGGAGCAGUGAGGGGAAACUGGCCCGUUUCUGGGAGCAACGCCGCAGACUGCCAACAGCCGGCACCAGGUAAGAAUCCGCCCGCUGUGAGUCUAAGGCCACCUGCUCAAGUGUCUCCUUGGACACAGGGGAAAGGGAGCCACAGAGAGGGGAAGCACGUGGGAGAAGUGACCACACCGGUAGAACUCAGGUCUCCCAAGUGGCCCGCUGUCUCCUGACUGGGGACCGAGAGUAAGAAGGAGCCUCUGGUGGGGUAAGUGGAAUAGGAGGGCUGUCGACCUCCUUCUCAUCUGAAGGAGACCAGGGGUCAGGGCCAGCACUGUCUGCCUGCUGGACAAGUAAGAGAGACUCAAGGGAAGAGUUCUUGGGCAAGAGGACACGCUUCCUGCAUCUCUGCCCCUCCUCCCAGCCCACCACCUCCUCCUCCAGGAAGUCCUCCCAGCUUUCCCCCUGGGGCGGGAACCUCUUUGUCCUCUAAGACCUUGGCAGUCCUUUCUUAGGCUCUCCCUGGCGCCACUUGGAUCUGUGCCCUAUUCACCUUGCCAGGGACAUUCUUCUUCCAUUUCAGCCUGACUGCACUCCUCCAGGGCAAGGACAUCAGUCCCACCUCCCCUCGGCACAUAGAAGUCACCCUAGGCUUGCUGGAUGGUGAGGUGAAAUGGUGAGACCCUGUCUCAAACCCAAAGGAUUGGUAAAUUGGCCAGGGGAGGAGACAUUCGGCAUAGAGGUUAAGACGAGGGAGCCGGGGUUGGCUGUUCUGAGUUAGGAACCCAGCUCAGCUCCUAACUCCGUGGCCUUGGAAAAUUCCCUUCUCACAGAGCCUUGGGGAUACGAGGGGAUUAGCACAAUUAAAACAGUCAACAAAUGACUGCUCUUAUUACAGUCGGCGUCACUGUGAUUUUCCUAGCUACAAGGAACAGAAGUACGCAGCCUAUAGCCAGAGGAGAAGCAAACAGCUUCCCCCAAAGGCUGCUCAUGGAGCCCUGUCCCUGCAUCACUUUCUCCCACGGGAACGUGGGCCUGCCUCCCAUCUACUUCCUGUUUCCAUACCCAGGAGGGGGGCUCUCUCGGCCACGAUAUUCGGAGCCUAAUGGGAUGUGCGGAAACAGCCCGCGACUCCCCUGGUUCGAGCCAGGCUGUGCCCACAGAACCAUCUCCUCCCCGUCCCGGUCCCCCGCGUGGAGGUCACAACAUACCCCUGCCGGCCUCACCAGCUGUCCUGAAGGUCCAGCGUCACGGGGCGCAGUUCCCCGAGCUGCAGUCACGCAGACGCCCCCUUUCGUAUUUUUGCCACAUCUGCAAAC